Molecule: long non-coding RNA, 1099 nt
Organism: Planococcus citri (citrus mealybug)
Lineage: Eukaryota; Metazoa; Arthropoda; Insecta; Hemiptera; Pseudococcidae
Exons: 2
Source: RefSeq, a predicted model, not a curated record
AAAAAAUUUAAAAAUCGCCCUCGAACCAGUUUUUGAAAAUUUUAAUUAUUUUAACAGUGAAGAAAUGCCCCGUCCCGUCCGUAGAAAUAAAUCAAAGACUUUCAAAUUUUCCUAAUCUACUCAGUCAAUUAAAAAGAUAUCUUCGUCAACAAGAAAUUAUCAAUUAAAAUAUUUCAAAGAUGGCCGCUUGAACCUAUUUACUUAUCAUAUCUACGUAUUAUCAAUCGAAUAUUUUUUUGUCAGAUAAGGGGGAAAACAGGAGAAUUUUGAGAGGAGGACAGUAGAACAUGAAAAAUUUUACAAAUAAGAGGGGAAAAGCUAAACUAACGAGACAGUGGUAUUUUUAUUCAAAAAAGGGGGAAACUUCAUUUUGAACAUCCCAUCACUGUCAGUAAUCGAUUUAUUUUUUUAACUAAAAUUUAUUCAUUAUUACUAACUUGUACUUUUGUUAAAAAUAAAAUACAUAAAUUUUUAAUUUACUUACUUGCUGACGUUGUGUUCCUUGAAAUCGUCAAAAGAUGCGCUGGUUAGUAUUCGCGAUUGGAAUGAUCUCGAUGAAUUUGAUUUUAAAUGCAGUUCUAACUGAGCAAAAACUCAUCACCGACGAAGAAGAAGAAGCGCUUCGCGAUUCGAAAUUUGAUUUGGAAAAUGUCGUUCCGUUGGCAAUAAGAAAAGGAAAAAAAAUCCUCGACAAUAAUGAGAAAGAUUCGCAGGAUGGUGACUGAGUACCUUGAAAUGUUGAAUAAAAAUUCCGUUGGCGAGCUAGGAAGCAGCGAUAAAUUUUCAAUUUCAUUCUAAUUUUAAAAUACUAAGAGACCGAUUUCUAGCUGUUGAUUAAGUGAUGUCUUAUUUCAGUCGAGAUACCACCUCACCCUCAUUUCUCAACUUCGAGGUUCGAGAACUUUAUAGGGGAUAAAGUUGUAAAUGAAUGAGAAAAAAGGCAACUGCAGUGCCUUCGAUACAUUUAGGACAAUUUUUGAUUCAUUUAUGGAAAGAUAUCAUGAAACUCAACUAUGUAAUUCAACAUAUGUAUUGUAUUUUCAUGUGUAAUUUAUUCAUAUUUAUAAUAUUUGCACUACAAGAAAUGACUUUUUAUGUA